RNAcentral lists this ribosomal RNA (461 nucleotides) under uncultured bacterium. RNAcentral's name for it is "partial 16S ribosomal RNA". It matches the Rfam family "Bacterial small subunit ribosomal RNA", at positions 338 to 795 of the family's 1533-position model. The record is from RNAcentral.
CCUACGGGAGGCUGCAGUGAGGAAUAUUGGUCAAUGGCCGGAAGGCUGAACCAGCCAAGCCGCGUGAAGGACGAAGGUGCCAAGCAUUGUAAACUUCUUUUGUCAGGGGACAAAGUCAGGCUCGCGAGCCUGGACGAGGGUACCUGAAGAAAAAGCAUCGGCUAACUCCGUGCCAGCAGCCGCGGUAAUACGGAGGAUGCGAGCGUUAUCCGGAUUUAUUGGGUUUAAAGGGUGCGUAGGCUGUGAGGUAAGUCAGCGGGGAAAUGCCCCCGCUCAACGGGGUGAAGUGCCAUUGAUACUGCCUGGCUGGAAUGCGGAUGCAGUGUGAGGAAUGUGUGGUGUAGCGGUGAAAUGCAUAGAUAUCACACAGAACACCGAUUGCGAAGGCAUCUCACGGAUCCGCGAUUGACGCUGAGGCACGAAAGCGUGGGUAUCAAACAGGAUUAGAUACCCGGGUAGUC